Molecule: non-coding RNA, 27 nt
Filed under: Cricetulus griseus (Chinese hamster)
Lineage: Eukaryota; Metazoa; Chordata; Mammalia; Rodentia; Cricetidae
Source: RNAcentral
CUUUAAUGCUAGUAGAGGAAAGGGAAG